Molecule: ribosomal RNA, 1765 nt
Filed under: Ulva expansa
Lineage: Eukaryota; Viridiplantae; Chlorophyta; Ulvophyceae; Ulvales; Ulvaceae
Source: RNAcentral
UGUAUAAUCAUUACAUUGUUAAUAUAUAAUCAUUGUUUACCUUUGCCCGAGGUUGUUAAUCCAAAGGCAAGGGACAAGAUGCUUGAGCCGUAUGCGCUGAAAGGUGCACGUACGGUUCUUACGGGGGGAAAAUCUGAAAAGAUCUACCUAUCCGAAUAAGUCUCGGUUAGGCCAGUCGUUCGAGCAAUAAAGAUCAUGAUUGGGCGUAAAGCGUUCUUCGGCGGUGCUCUUUUGUCUACUAUGAAGACUCUAGAACAACUCGUUUGACAGCGACUAAUAGAAUUGAAAAGUCACCGAUAAAAUGGGAAUAAUUUUUUAGGAAUAUCACUUGCGAAGGCAAUUAGUUGGGUCAAAACAGUAGCUUAGGAACGAAGGGAUGGGGAUCAAAUACCAUUAGAUACGGUAGUGUGCGACUCGUUUUACAGAAAAGUAUUACAAAUAAUACGUACUGUAAGUAAUACACUUUGUGUUUAUAACUGUGAUUAUUUGCUGGUGAAAAACCAGACGUCGUGGGAGCCGACGAAAAGCAUAGCCCGCAUGCUUUUUUUAGCCAAGCCAACAAAGGCAAAGGGUUAUUCAAAAGGUGUGAAGCCGGGUUAAACGGGGUGAAGUAAACGACAAAUCCCUAGCAAAGAGCAUAUGAUUAGUCAACGAAUCUGUGAUAACGCAUCGUUAAUCUAAUACAUACAGUUGAGGCAUGGUAUAUUACCGAUCAUGCUGUUCCUUCUAAUAACUGUCGGUGUUUAGCAGAAAUCUAAGUGCUCAUAAUUUAGUAAUCACGGAACGAGGAAACCUCAAGGUAGUAACCUUUAUAAGGAGAGGGCUUACAGCUCGCUAACUUGAGAGUAGGAUGAGAUAAAAAGCGAAUGCCAAACUGUAAUAGGGUGGAUAUGCUGACGUGUCUCACGUGAAAAAAAAGUGAUACAAAUUUUAUACAUUUUGUAUAAUUACACGAGGAGCCGUAUGAUGGGAAACUAUCACGUACGGUUUUGAAGUAAGAGUUUCGGGGAGACCCGGCGCUGAUUAUAACAGUCCAUUCAGUCAACGAUGGCUUUUAUGUCUUGGCCUUUGGCCUUGAAUAAGCUAACGCGGAAAAAGCCCGCCUCAAUAGUACGAGCGCAAGCUUAAAAUUGAAACAAUUAAUGCGUGGAGAUUCAAUAUGGUGGAACAUGCGAUUUAAUUCGUCGCUACGCGCUAACCUUACGCGGUCUUGAUUAAUUACAACGGCUUAGUUUGUAAACAAAACUAAGUAUAUAAUUAUAGCUUUGCAUGGUCGUGGUCAGCUCGUUUUUUGUAAAGUUGGGUUAAUUCCAUAAACGAGCGAAACGCGCAUAUUUAUAUUAACUAAUUUCAGUUAAGCUUGAGAUGUACCUAUAAACCACAGCGAAAGAAAUUUUCGAGGAAGAGCGCAUCAUCACAGAUCCUCAUGAAGUUCAUGAUCGCGGCUAUACGCGUGUUACAAUUGAUAAACCAAACAGUAGCAAUUAUGCAAAUAAGUGCGAAUCUGUAAACCUUAUCUAAACGGAUUGCAUUCUGCAACUCGAAUGUAUGAAGCAGGAAUCAUAAGUAAUCGUUUUAAAGAAUUGAAACGGUGAAAUUUGUUCAUCUCCGGCUAUUAAUAGCCCGUCAAUGCCUGGUUAACGGGUGUACAGGAAAAGUGUAGAUUGUGUACCUAUAUUUGAUUGUAUAUUCGGCAGCCGGGCAUAAGUCGUAACACAGUAAUCGUACCGGAAGGUGCGGUUGGCGCCAUUUUUACUUUUUUACC